Molecule: ribosomal RNA, 467 nt
Filed under: uncultured bacterium
Lineage: Bacteria
Description: partial 16S ribosomal RNA
Rfam family: Bacterial small subunit ribosomal RNA
Source: RNAcentral
GAUGAAUGCUGGCGGCGUGCCUAACACAUGCAAGUCGAGCGGCAGCGCGAGUAGUUUACUACUUGGCGGCGAGCGGCGGACGGCUGAGUAACGCGUGGGAACGUGCCCCAAAGGGAGGAAUAACUGCCCGAAAGGGUGGCUAAUGCCGCAUAUGAUCUUCGGAUUAAAGGAUUUAUCCGCUUUGGGAGCGGCCCGCGUCGGAUUAGGUUGUUGGUGAGGUAAUGGCUCACCAAGCCGACGAUCCGUAGCUGGUCUGAGGGGAUGAUCAGCCAGACUGGGACUGAGACACGGCCCAGACUCCUACGGGAGGCAGCAGUGAGGAAUCUUCCACAAUGGGCGAAAGCCUGAUGGAGCAACGCCGCGUGAAGGAUGAAGGCCCUCGGGUUGUAAACUUCUUUUAUAAGUGAAGAAUAUGACGGUAACUUAUGAAUAAGCACCGGCUAACUACGUGCCAGCCGCCGCAGUAA